UCUCCGUUGGUGAACCAGCGGAGGGAUCAUUACCGAGUUUACAACUCCCAAACCCAAUGUGAACCAUACCAAACUGUUGCCUCGGCGGGGUCACGCCCCGGGUGCGUCGCAGCCCCGGAACCAGGCGCCCGCCGGAGGGACCAACCAAACUCUUUCUGUAGUCCCCUCGCGGACGUUAUUUUUACAGCUCUGAGCAAAAAUUCAAAAUGAAUCAAAACUUUCAACAACGGAUCUCUUGGUUCUGGCAUCGAUGAGGAACGCAGC
Molecule: unclassified non-coding RNA, 264 nt
Filed under: plant metagenome
Description: partial contains small subunit ribosomal RNA, internal transcribed spacer 1, and 5.8S ribosomal RNA
Rfam family: 5.8S ribosomal RNA (bases 216-264)
Source: RNAcentral